AAAUUGAAGAGUUUGAUCAUGGCUCAGAUUGAACGCUGGCGGCAGGCCUAACACAUGCAAGUCGAACGGUAACAGGAAACAGCUUGCUGUUUCGCUGACGAGUGGCGGACGGGUGAGUAAUGUCUGGGAAACUGCCUGAUGGAGGGGGAUAACUACUGGAAACGGUAGCUAAUACCGCAUAACGUCGCAAGACCAAAGAGGGGGACCUUCGGGCCUCUUGCCAUCGGAUGUGCCCAGAUGGGAUUAGCUAGUAGGUGGGGUAACGGCUCACCUAGGCGACGAUCCCUAGCUGGUCUGAGAGGAUGACCAGCCACACUGGAACUGAGACACGGUCCAGACUCCUACGGGAGGCAGCAGUGGGGAAUAUUGCACAAUGGGCGCAAGCCUGAUGCAGCCAUGCCGCGUGUAUGAAGAAGGCCUUCGGGUUGUAAAGUACUUUCAGCGGGGAGGAAGGGAGUAAAGUUAAUACCUUUGCUCAUUGACGUUACCCGCAGAAGAAGCACCGGCUAACUCCGUGCCAGCAGCCGCGGUAAUACGGAGGGUGCAAGCGUUAAUCGGAAUUACUGGGCGUAAAGCGCACGCAGGCGGUUUGUUAAGUCAGAUGUGAAAUCCCCGGGCUCAACCUGGGAACUGCAUCUGAUACUGGCAAGCUUGAGUCUCGUAGAGGGGGGUAGAAUUCCAGGUGUAGCGGUGAAAUGCGUAGAGAUCUGGAGGAAUACCGGUGGCGAAGGCGGCCCCCUGGACGAAGACUGACGCUCAGGUGCGAAAGCGUGGGGAGCAAACAGGAUUAGAUACCCUGGUAGUCCACGCCGUAAACGAUGUCGACUUGGAGGUUGUGCCCUUGAGGCGUGGCUUCCGGAGCUAACGCGUUAAGUCGACCGCCUGGGGAGUACGGCCGCAAGGUUAAAACUCAAAUGAAUUGACGGGGGCCCGCACAAGCGGUGGAGCAUGUGGUUUAAUUCGAUGCAACGCGAAGAACCUUACCUGGUCUUGACAUCCACGGAAGUUUUCAGAGAUGAGAAUGUGCCUUCGGGAACCGUGAGACAGGUGCUGCAUGGCUGUCGUCAGCUCGUGUUGUGAAAUGUUGGGUUAAGUCCCGCAACGAGCGCAACCCUUAUCCUUUGUUGCCAGCGGUCCGGCCGGGAACUCAAAGGAGACUGCCAGUGAUAAACUGGAGGAAGGUGGGGAUGACGUCAAGUCAUCAUGGCCCUUACGACCAGGGCUACACACGUGCUACAAUGGCGCAUACAAAGAGAAGCGACCUCGCGAGAGCAAGCGGACCUCAUAAAGUGCGUCGUAGUCCGGAUUGGAGUCUGCAACUCGACUCCAUGAAGUCGGAAUCGCUAGUAAUCGUGGAUCAGAAUGCCACGGUGAAUACGUUCCCGGGCCUUGUACACACCGCCCGUCACACCAUGGGAGUGGGUUGCAAAAGAAGUAGGUAGCUUAACCUUCGGGAGGGCGCUUACCACUUUGUGAUUCAUGACUGGGGUGAAGUCGUAACAAGGUAACCGUAGGUGAACCUGCGGUUGGAUCACCUCCUUACCUUAAAGAAGC
Molecule: ribosomal RNA, 1554 nt
Filed under: Escherichia coli
Lineage: Bacteria; Pseudomonadati; Pseudomonadota; Gammaproteobacteria; Enterobacterales; Enterobacteriaceae
Description: bacterial SSU rRNA
Rfam family: Bacterial small subunit ribosomal RNA
Source: RNAcentral